AACAGGAUUAGAUACCCUGGUAGUCCAUGCCGUAAACGUUGGGCACUAGGUGUGGGGACCAUUCCACGGUUUCCGCGCCGCAGCUAACGCAUUAAGUGCCCCGCCUGGGGAGUACGGCCGCAAGGCUAAAACUCAAAGGAAUUGACGGGGGCCCGCACAAGCGGCGGAGCAUGCGGAUUAAUUCGAUGCAACGCGAAGAACCUUACCAAGGCUUGACAUGUUCUCGAUCGCCGUAGAGAUACGGUUUCCCCUUUGGGGCGGGAUCACAGGUGGUGCAUGGUUGUCGUCAGCUCGUGUCGUGAGAUGUUGGGUUAAGUCCCGCAACGAGCGCAACCCUCGUUCCAUGUUGCCAGCACGUAAUGGUGGGGACUCAUGGGAGACUGCCGGGGUCAACUCGGAGGAAGGUGGGGACGACGUCAAAUCAUCAUGCCCCUUAUGUCUUGGGCUUCACGCAUGCUACAAUGGCCGGUACAAUGGGUUGCGAUACUGUGAGGUGGAGCUAAUCCCAAAAAGCCGGUCUCAGUUCGGAUUGGGGUCUGCAACUCGACCCCAUGAAGUCGGAGUCGCUAGUAAUCGCAGAUCAGCAACGCUGCGGUGAAUACGUUCCCGGGCCUUGUACACACCGCCCGUCAAGUCACGAAAGUCGGUAACACCCGAAGCCGGUGGCCUAACCCUUGUGGGGGGAGCCGUCGAAGGUGGGACCAGCGAUUGGGACUAAGUCGUAACAAGGUAACC
RNAcentral lists this ribosomal RNA (735 nucleotides) under uncultured bacterium. Its description in RNAcentral is "bacterial SSU rRNA". It matches the Rfam family "Bacterial small subunit ribosomal RNA", at positions 771 to 1501 of the family's 1533-position model. The record is from RNAcentral.